AACGCGAAGAACCUUACCUGGUCUUGACAUCCACAGAACUUGGCAGAGAUGCCUUGGUGCCUUCGGGAACUGUGAGACAGGUGCUGCAUGGCUGUCGUCAGCUCGUGUUGUGAAAUGUUGGGUUAAGUCCCGCAACGAGCGCAACCCUUAUCCUUUGUUGCCAGCGAUUCGGUCGGGAACUCAAUGGAGACUGCCAGUGAUAAACUGGAGGAAGGUGGGGAUGACGUCAAGUCAUCAUGGCCCUUACGACCAGGGCUACACACGUGCUACAAUGGCAUAUACAAAGAGAAGCGACCUCGCGAGAGCAAGCGGACCUCAUAAAGUAUGUCGUAGUCCGGAUUGGAGUCUGCAACUCGACUCCAUGAAGUCGGAAUCGCUAGUAAUCGUGGAUCAGAAUGCCACGGUGAAUACGUUCCCGGGUCUUGUACACACCG
RNAcentral lists this ribosomal RNA (434 nucleotides) under uncultured bacterium. RNAcentral's name for it is "bacterial SSU rRNA". It matches the Rfam family "Bacterial small subunit ribosomal RNA", at positions 958 to 1392 of the family's 1533-position model. The record is from RNAcentral.